UAAAGGGUUUUUAUAAAUUUAAUGCUGAACUUCAUCUCCCAAGCGGACAUUUGACACUGUAGAAUGAUGUAUUGUUUCAACGCAGGUUAAAUAAUGUAGCAAUGUUGUACAUGGUUGAGUGUCUUCUGACCUCCGUUACAGAGCUUAGUGGACAGGAGGGUAAACAUGAGAGGUAGAAUGUCUGUUACACAAGGAAAGCCACCAAAGGGGGAGGCAGAGGUUGUCCAUAACCACUGACACAGGGUCAGAUACGUUUUCGUUUCCCAAAUGGUUAUUGUUAGGGAUAGAUGAUUCUAGAUCUGUGGUUAGGGGUAACCUCUACUUCAGAGGUAGCCAACCCUCUUCCCAGACAGCUACUGGUUAUGCAAGCUUUUGCUCUAUUCCUGCUCUUACACACACCUCAUUCUACUCAUCGGCUGAUCAUCAGAACCUUGAUUAGCUAAAUCAGGUAUGGUAGAGCUGGGCUGGAUCAAAAGCCUGCAUACCCAGUAGCUCUUUAGGCAGGAUGGCCAUCCCUGAUCUAAAUCCAUCAGUCACAAACACUCCUGCAAGGUCAUAGUCAUAACAUCCAGAGUUUGCACAAGGCUAGCUAAUAUUACUAACACAAAUAAGUUCUGCCAAAUGAAAUAAACUAUGAAAAAAGAAGCCUUGUUUGAAGAGAAAUUAGGGAAUUUCAAGGAAAACAAGUUUAAGAAGAGUAUGUUCUCUAUGAGCUUUAUAUGGAAUCCAUUAUGACAAAAGGUGCAGACGUCAAUCAUUCAGAAGGUAUAAACUCCACACAGCCUCACGUUCUUGUACUGUCUGUAAUAGUCAUAUCAAUACAUGAUACAGUGCAAUACCUGUAGACACAUUUGCAAAGGGCAUUUUCCACUCAUCCUUAUUCCCCCAGUGUAGGUCCAAGCAGUGAAGGGCUGAAUCCUAACCUCAGUUAUGUGUCCAUCACGCAAACCUUCACACAAAUCUCCCAUUGAUAUCAAUGGAUGACUUAUGUGGCUAGUUCUAGUAAUGCGUAUCAUAUAUUAUAUUAAGUUAAUUCAAGCCCAAGUCUUACUGUAGGACCAUUGACCAUAUCUGCCAUCAAAUGAUUGGAUAAGUUACUGUUCCAUUAAAGUUCUCCUGACCAAAUCAACUCUAAAUUUCACCACAAAUUAUCAACAGCAACACACUGAAAUACCACAAUGUCCAUCUUUCUCUGCAGGUCUGUGGGACAUUAAUGACAAAUACCUUUGGGAGUAAGUUCAUGUUACCCAACUCCACACCAAACUCUAACCCCUAGUCCUACACACCGACCACUUAGCAAUAUGGUGCUGCUCCACCUAGGUGUGAUUUUCACUAUGUUGCUUGUACCAACAAGUGUCCAGGGGUAGGGGUUUGGAAUUGGGCAUGUGAGUGAGAGGGUUCAUACAGGUGUUUACGUGAGUCUCUCUAAGUCUGUGUCCUAAUUCUCUCCCCACAUUCCUUUCCUAAUCUAAUUUCCUUCAUGAUCAUUGAUCCAAAAGGACCUAAAAAGGUAACAGCGUAAGCAAUACAGUGGAUUCCUUUCACCCAUGUAUGGACAUGAAGGAUAGGAGACAAGGUAAGGAAUCAAGGCAGUGGAAUUGGAACACAGUGUAAACAUCUUCCAUAAGAGCCAGUGGGGAAGGGGCAGAGGAGACACUCCACAGAGAGCAUAGGUAACAAAGCACCUCGUUACAGACCUUCUGCCUGUAAAUUAAUUUUCUAAACAAUCCUUAAACCAAGUAAAAAAAUAAACUGUUGGGAUGGAAAGAAGUGUCCCAGGUCCCAUAGUACUCCCUUGAAGUAAUAACAUAUCUGAGAAGGUUGGAUUGGUCAAAGCAGAAGGGUGGAUAUCUUGCUUUCGAUUAUCCACUCACAUACAGAUCGGUGAUAGGGAAGAGAGGAAGAUGCACUAUGAUGAAACAAUGUAAUUUGGUUGGUGAGUUGUGAGAGAGGUUCAUAAAAAGGUAAUCCCCUAACUUAAGGUUUUCCUCAAUGCUAAGGCAACACCAAACGCACACUCUCACACACUGAAGCAUAAAGCAUAUACAGUAGAGUACACAUAUGUUUAUAUGGUAAACCUUCCAAAUACCUUCUCGUUCACAUGGUUGUAUUAACUCUAUAUGUAAGCAGGAUAUGUACUAGGCAUUUCAGCAUGAAAUAGGGGCCAUCUUUCAAGAUCUUUGAGAAUCACAUUCAAAAAUAAAAUGUAACACUAGUGCAAUCCUUUAAGAGUUCGCAAAUCCUGCAUUUUCAUGCAGUUUCACUCAAAUUCAUUAUUUGAGAUUUCUCUGUAGAUAUUUCGUUAGUUUUGUUGAAACAGUGGGUAUGGAUGAUAUCCAAUAGCAGUCAAGUAUUAUAUUUAUUUUAAAUGUGUAAAUAAACGGUAGUACUAUCAUAGCAUUAACACAAUAUAUACACUGUAUAUUCCAAUAGAAAAGCUAAAUGUCCACAGAUUGCGGUUGUGUUUAUAAUCAAGUUUUAAACUGGGUGGUUGAGCCUUGAAUGCUGAUUGGCUGAAAGCCGUGGUAUAUCACACCGUAUACCACGGGUAUGACAAAAUAUUUAUUUUUACUGCUCCAAAUACAUUGGUAACCAGUUUAUAAUAGCAAUAACGUUCCUUGGGGGUUUGUGAUAUAUGGCCAAUAUACCACGGCAAAGGGCUGUGCGUUGCGUCAUGCCUAAGAACAGCCCUUAGCCGUGGUAUAUUGGCCAUAUACACCACACCUCCUCGGGCCUUAUUGCUUAAUUAGGCGCUACUACAGCCUCUCCUGUGUUAAUGAGUGAACUCUCUCGCUCUCUUACAAUCAAAAAUAAUCAGUGUUCAUGUACUAUUUACAGCUGCAAUCAACUACACAAUGCCACUUCAUUCAGUCAUAGGGUGACACUUCACAAUAAAUUGCAUAGAUACCACGUGUUACAUUUUCUGGUGUAAUUAAAUGCAACUACACUGUAACUACCUGGACAUAAUUUGUAAAAUGUCCUUACUUUAGACAUUAGUGUUUUGUACCUUAUCUGCAAUUACCAUUUACAUCUGAACAAUUAGUCUGGUUUCCAGGGUAGUUAGAGAGUAACUUCAUGGCAUAAAGGCAAGUUAAAGUGAAGUGUUGCCCAGUCUUAAGAUUGAAAUAUUCAACAAACAAAAAAUUAAAUAUUAGGAGGGCAAAAGUUCAUAGAACUCUUUAGUUUUGAGAGAGCUUGAGGGAGUGGCAAACCAACUGGACAGAGCAGUUGUACCUUUUCUACCAUACAAUGAACAUUGUACAGGGUAUUUACAAAUAUACAAGAGGAAGAGUUGGUGGUGGUGGUUUUUGUUAGUCUGAUCUGGAGGUGAUUCAGCCAACUCGAACAUACAAAACACACCUUUUCAAAGCAGCGGGUGGCCGUCCUAUCACCUCUGACCAAAAUGUCGGCCGUCAUUUUCUGUUCACUUCACAACAACUCUACAUGUUGAAUCACCACCGUUUGUCGACACCAAGGUGGUGACCCCUAAAGGCGUCAGCAUGCUUAAGCUCGGCUGGCGCCUAACCGAACGAGUGUGCUUGCAUACUCCCUUAAAAUACACUUGCUUGAAAAACAAGAAAAAAAGCAUCAAACGCCGUAGCCAGUCUCAAAAUGACUGUACACUUCCUCAAAAGUCCGAAUUAAUCUAAGAUAACUCAAGAAACCUGUCAUUAAUUUUGACGUUUUUGCCCAAGAGAUCUUAGUUGCGAAAUUUUACAUCUAACUAAGAUGUUUGGCGCAGUAUUUCUUUAUGAGAAAAAUGUCAUGAAGACGAGUCGUCUCUAGCUGAAUGACAACAAAGACUUUAUCGGAGAAUUCCUACUGUUGAACAAUCACCGAUGAAGGGGUGUAGACUUCGGCUCCGAACUUCGGCUUGACCAAAACGAACAAAAGCGUCACAAAACGUCAGCAUAAUUUUUGCACAUACUCUACCGAACUGUUUAGUCUGGGAAGCAUGUGGACGCCUUUAACACACCGCGGCCACCCACUGCUUUCGCCUUUGAGGUGUAUCUAGUCAAGAGGAAUCAGCUUCAGCGCCUAAUGAAUGAGUCUAAAAACAACCUGAAGUGAAACAGACUAAAGUUACACCAGACCAACCAACCAGCCUGUGUCUACUCUUCAAGGACAUAAAAAUAAUAAUAAUAUUUGUUACAUCACUGGGUUACUGUGAUCCCAAAACAAAACAAUUAUCCCAAUCCAGGGGCUUUUCAGAGUUUUCGUUACAUUACAUUGUCCUGCUGAGUUUGAGUGUGAAACCCAAUGGAUGGAGUGCAUGAACUUGAAACCAAAUAGAUGCAGGUGAGAAGAACCAGAGACUGAACAGACAAGAGGUGUGUGUCCCGUUUGAAACGCCUGCCAGCGGCCUCAAUCCAGGUGUAGCCAGUGAGGAGAGGGCUCUGAUCCAUGGACAAAAUUAAAGAGAGCAACAGUGUCAUCUUAGCCAAACGUCGUCUGGUCUGAUGGCAUUAACAUCUCAUGUGAUGAUCUUAUGACCCCUCUCUCCAUCAGACACCAAGCCCAUUGGCUAUACAGGGAUCUUAGACUCAGGAGGAGGCGGCGUUAAGGAGGGUAGAUGGGUGGUUGGGUUGACUGAUCCCUUAGGUUGUCGAUUAGCUUGAUUGUCUAGCCCCCCCACCCACGAGGACACGGGGUUGUGGUGUGGUCAAGCUGCAGUCCUGCUCACUGUUAGCUCCUCCUCACACUCCGUUGGCGCUCAUCUUGCUCUUCUGGGACACCUCUGCUCCUUUAGCCUACAGG
RNAcentral lists this long non-coding RNA (4758 nucleotides) under Salmo salar (Atlantic salmon). RNAcentral's name for it is "lncRNA (ENSSSAG00000100335.1)". Lineage: Eukaryota; Metazoa; Chordata; Actinopteri; Salmoniformes; Salmonidae. The record is from RNAcentral.